CAUCCCCCACCGCUUCUCCUCCCGUCCCGAUCCGUUCCCCAGCGCAACAGCCACAGAAAAAGGCGGCGGGCGGGGAGGGGAGGGGAUCCCCUUCCUUCCGCGGCCACCGCUCCCACCAAAGCCAGACGCAACGCAGCGCAGGGACGCCGCGGGCAGGCAGGCAGGCAAUGGGGGCGCACCGGGGCCCAGCGCCAGCGGCGGCGGGCGCGCGACGGCACGGCGCCUGACCCUGACGCCCCCCAGCGUCUCGGCUCCUCCUCCUCCUCGGUGGGGGCGGCUCGCGAUGGGGUCCGGCGUGUUGUCGUCGAGCAUGGCGCUCGCGCUCGCGGGGUUCUGCUGCAGCGUCCUCCUCAUCGCCUUCGUCUGCUCCCGCCUCGCCUGCGCGCUGCUCCGCCGCCGCCGCGCACCACUACUCCUUCGCCGCCGCCCGCCACCCCGCGGGGCCCGGCGGCGGCGGGGGCGGGGGGCUCGAUCCCGCCGCGGUCGCCGCCUUCCCCACCCGCGCCUUCGCCGCCGGUGGCGAUGGCCCGCGCGGCUCCGACUGCUCCUCCGACGCCGAUUCCCAGUGCAUCAUCUGUCUUGCGGAAUACGAAGAGAAAGAUGUGCUACGCACUCUUCCUUACUGCCGCCAUGAUUUCCACAUGGCCUGUAUAGAUUUGUGGUUAGAGCAGAACUCAACCUGCCCAGUCUGUAGAACCUCAUGGCUUGAUAAGCCUGAUAGCGAACACACUGCACCUCCUCCACUACCCAGCCUAGCGAUAAGCCCUCCAAGCUCUCCUGAAUCGUCAAGAUCGGAUCCGUGUCGCUGGCUAUUUGUCAGCACAGGACAUUCAUCCAGGGCAUCGGAGGCUCCUAGACAUGAGCCCGACCAGGAGAAUCAGGUGGCAUCUGCCCCAUCAGUGGAUGGGGCUAACAGCAUGCCAUUGUCUGAAGUUGACCCCACACCUGAAAAUAACAGUCAAACAGUAAGGAAGCAGGCAGACAGAUCUACCCAGCUAGGGCCCUGCAAAUAGCAGCUGCAUUGGGCUUUGGCGUCUCUGUUCUGCACAGAACUGCAGGGCGAAGUUCCUGUGAAAUUUGAAACAUCUGCAAUAGUGGAUGACUGCUUGCUGGAGGUUAGCUUUGAGAGGUUUGUUGUAAAUAUGAGAAAUCAUUCAGGUUUCUUGCUGGAGAAAACAAAAGAGAGCCCUUUUUUCCAAUGAUACUCAAAAUAGCUAAUUGCAUCCAAAGACUUGUCACAUUUUGUGGUAGCCCUAGCCCACAGAGAGAUGAUUGUUACAGCAGCAGUACAUUGUUACAACUGCCGUAGCCGUAGUGAUGAUGGCACGAGCAAAUAGGAUGAAGUAAAUCUUGAUUAGUCCCAUGUGAUGAUAGCAUUUGACACUGACAUGCUUUCUGUACUGGAGAACAAACUGACAAAAGCAUUUGACAUGAACACGCUUCUCUGGGGAUGCAGGAGAUUAGCUGCUGAUGCAGGAGAUUAGGUACGCAAGUGAAAGUUCUUCCGGAACAGAACGAGGACCUGCUGCCAAUCUUGUCAGCGUCUAACUGGGAAUUCUAUGCUACUAUGAUCCAUCAGUGUGCUGAAAAACCCUGAUCCACGGCCACAAGAUCAGAUCCCUGCUACUAUGAUGAAAUCUCUGAUGGAAAGCAAACCCAAUCUUGGAGGGACCUCCACAGAUGCUGAAGAGCAGGAGCAGCAGAUGGCUGCCCACGCACCGUCCCAUGUCGCGGCGAUGACUCAUCCCAGAUUUGUUCAAACCAGCAGCUGCGGCAGCACUGCAUCAGAGCAAGCACAGCUACAGCAACGGAUCGUCUCAUUGCUACGGUUCAGAUACACAUCAUGCUUGUUGCAGUAAAGGCCACGACAGCUCAUUUUCACUCGAUAACAAGCAGACACCAACCAACAAAUAAACACUAAGUGUACACCAACCAAGUCCUUACAAGCUUACAAACUCUGUAGACUCCAGGAACAAUAAAUAGUAAUAGAUUGUUCAGUCUUACAAAAAG
RNA transcript from Panicum virgatum (switchgrass), 2010 nucleotides. It is a transcript of the gene named RING-H2 finger protein ATL80-like, with no coding region annotated. The record is from RefSeq and is a predicted model, not a curated record. The transcript has 2 exons. Lineage: Eukaryota; Viridiplantae; Streptophyta; Magnoliopsida; Poales; Poaceae.